RNAcentral lists this transfer RNA (75 nucleotides) under Perca fluviatilis (European perch). It matches the Rfam family "tRNA". Rfam says of the family: Transfer RNA (tRNA) molecules are approximately 80 nucleotides in length. Their secondary structure includes four short double-helical elements and three loops (D, anti-codon, and T loops). Further hydrogen bonds mediate the characteristic L-shaped molecular structure. tRNAs have two regions of fundamental functional importance: the anti-codon, which is responsible for specific mRNA codon recognition, and the 3' end, to which the tRNAs corresponding amino acid is attached (by aminoacyl-tRNA synthetases). tRNAs cope with the degeneracy of the genetic code in two manners: having more than one tRNA (with a specific anti-codon) for a particular amino acid; and 'wobble' base-pairing, i.e. permitting non-standard base-pairing at the 3rd anti-codon position. Lineage: Eukaryota; Metazoa; Chordata; Actinopteri; Perciformes; Percidae. The record is from Rfam by way of RNAcentral.
GCCGAAAUAGCUCAGUUGGGGAAAAGCGUUAGACUGAACAUCUAAAGGUCCCUGGUUCGAUCCGGGUUUUCGGCA